AUACGUAGGGGGCGAGCGUUGUCCGGAAUGAUUGGGCGUAAAGGGCGCGUAGGCGGCCGCUUAAGUCUGGAGUGAAAGUCCUGCUUUCAAGGUGGGAAUUGCUUUGGAGACUGGUUGGCUUGAGUGCGGAAGAGGUAAGUGGAAUUCCCAGUGUAGCGGUGAAAUGCGUAGAGAUUGGGAGGAACACCAGUGGCGAAGGCGACUUACUGGGCCGUAACUGACGCUGAGGCGCGAAAGCGUGGGGAGCGAACAGGAUUAGAUACCCUGGUAGUCCACGCAGUAAACGAUGAAUGCUAGGUGUAGGGGUUAUCGACCCCUCCUGUGCCGGAGUGAACACAAUAAGCAUUCCGCCUGGGGAGUACGGCCGCAAGGUUGAAACUCAAAUGAAUUGACGGGG
Molecule: ribosomal RNA, 397 nt
Filed under: uncultured bacterium
Lineage: Bacteria
Description: partial 16S ribosomal RNA
Rfam family: Bacterial small subunit ribosomal RNA
Source: RNAcentral